GAGUAGUGGUCCAAAAGAGGCAACGUUGCUGGCUUUGAAGAUGGAGGAAGGGGGCUGUGAGUCAAGGAAUGUGAGCAGCCUCUAGAAGCUGGAAAAGGCAGAGACUCUCCCUGGAGUGUCUCAGAUGCAUGCGAUGUGCAUGACUGCUGGAUUUGGAUCAGUGAGCUGAAAGAUGCAGAACAUCACACUUGGCUGGAUGAGUCCCUGUGGAUUGUGGACGAGGAGAAACCGUGAGCGCUGUUCAUUCUAGAAGAUUCAACAGAUUCUUUCACUUGCUGGCUUUGAUGGAGUAAGCUGGCAUAUGGAGAGUCCCAUGUGGAAGCAAUUAAGGGUCACCACUUGCCAACAGUGAGCAAGGAACUGAGGCCCUCAUUCAGAAAAACUGCAAGGACCUGAAUCCUGCCAACAGCCAUGGGAACUUGGAAAUGCAUCCUUCCCC
RNAcentral lists this long non-coding RNA (439 nucleotides) under Equus asinus (donkey). RNAcentral's name for it is "lncRNA (ENSEASG00005038506.1)". Lineage: Eukaryota; Metazoa; Chordata; Mammalia; Perissodactyla; Equidae. The record is from RNAcentral.